GCGGAUGUAGCUCAACAGUGGAGUGAUUGCUUAGCAUGCAUGAGGAGCUGGGUUCAAUCCCCAGCAUACCCA
RNAcentral lists this transfer RNA (72 nucleotides) under Ictidomys tridecemlineatus (thirteen-lined ground squirrel). Its description in RNAcentral is "Spermophilus tridecemlineatus (thirteen-lined ground squirrel) tRNA". It matches the Rfam family "tRNA". Rfam says of the family: Transfer RNA (tRNA) molecules are approximately 80 nucleotides in length. Their secondary structure includes four short double-helical elements and three loops (D, anti-codon, and T loops). Further hydrogen bonds mediate the characteristic L-shaped molecular structure. tRNAs have two regions of fundamental functional importance: the anti-codon, which is responsible for specific mRNA codon recognition, and the 3' end, to which the tRNAs corresponding amino acid is attached (by aminoacyl-tRNA synthetases). tRNAs cope with the degeneracy of the genetic code in two manners: having more than one tRNA (with a specific anti-codon) for a particular amino acid; and 'wobble' base-pairing, i.e. permitting non-standard base-pairing at the 3rd anti-codon position. The record is from Rfam by way of RNAcentral. Lineage: Eukaryota; Metazoa; Chordata; Mammalia; Rodentia; Sciuridae.